AGCGAACGCUGGCGGCAGGCUUAACACAUGCAAGUCGAGCGGGCAUCCUUGUGGUGUCAGCGGCAGACGGGUGAGUAACGCGUGGGAACGUGCCCUUCGGUUCGGAAUAACUCAGGGAAACUUGAGCUAAUACCGGAUACGUGCGAGAGCAGAAAGGUUUAUCUGCCGAAGGAUCGGCCCGCGUCUGAUUAGCUAGUUGGUGAGGUUAUGGCUCACCAAGGCGACGAUCAGUAGCUGGUCUGAGAGGAUGAUCAGCCACACUGGGACUGAGACACGGCCCAGACUCCUACGGGAGGCAGCAGUGGGGAAUAUUGGACAAUGGGGGCAACCCUGAUCCAGCCAUGCCGCGUGAGUGAUGACGGCCUUAGGGUUGUAAAGCUCUUUUCUCCGGGACGACAAUGACGGUACCGGAGGAAUAAGCCCCGGCUAACUUCGUG
RNAcentral lists this ribosomal RNA (437 nucleotides) under uncultured bacterium. RNAcentral's name for it is "partial 16S ribosomal RNA". It matches the Rfam family "Bacterial small subunit ribosomal RNA", at positions 29 to 507 of the family's 1533-position model. The record is from RNAcentral.